This 65-nucleotide non-coding RNA is filed under the name unclassified sequences. The record is from RNAcentral.
ACCCUAAUGCAGCUUCGGAUAUGCGUCCGGAACGGUGACAAGUCCGUAUAAAUGCAGAGUCAGGG